This is a long non-coding RNA of Acanthopagrus latus (yellowfin seabream), 482 nucleotides long. RefSeq lists it as uncharacterized. Lineage: Eukaryota; Metazoa; Chordata; Actinopteri; Spariformes; Sparidae. The transcript has 2 exons. The record is from RefSeq and is a predicted model, not a curated record.
AACAUCGCCACAAAGUCAAUAAAAACUUAAACAAAUACACAAAAACCUCCACAAUGACACACAAAACUUCCACAAAUACACAUAAAAUCUCCACAAAUUCACUAAAAACUUAAACUAAUACACAAUCUCUACAAACCUCCACAAUUUCACAAAAAACUUCCAUAAAAUCCCCACAAAACCUGCACAAAGACACAUGAAACUACCACUGCUCUUCCUUCUCUUCUUGCAGGUGAUGGAGGGUUGAAAGGACAAAUCAACACGACAAACAAGACGAGCCGCCACAGGAGCCUGAAGGGAAAGUAACGAGAGCAGCCAGGAGCUGAAACUGUGAGCAGAGGAACAGGCUGCUGAGGACCAGCUGGACGACUGUUUCCUGAACUGAAUCCUGAUUUCCUGUAAUCAAGUUUUGUGGACUGACAUGUUCUCUGGUUGCUGCUCUUUCUGUCAGAUCAGUAGGAAAUAUUGUGCUGCUCGCAAACAGA